CGGACCCAGAAAUAUAAAUUCACAGGUAAAUUUGGCCCAUAGGCCCAACAACCUAAACCCUAACCCUAAUCCCCCUCUCUUUCUCUCUCCUCUACUUACCCACCCCGCCCAGCCGCCGCCCCUCUCCUCUCCACUCCGUGCUUCCGCCGCCAGCGCCGGCGUUCCUCUGCUCCUCUCCUUCCCCGCAACUGCACCUCCUCUCCUCCCCCGCCCCAGCGGCGUCGCGCCUCCUCUCUGUCGCCGCCGCCGAGCGCCGGGCGCCCGCGCCAUCGACGUUUCUCGGCGGGGAGCCGGCCAGCCGGGAGUGGCUGGUGGAGGGCUGCUCCCGACCUCCCAAGGGCGCGCGGGCCGGGGAGCCGAGGGGCCCGACGCCGGCGCGGACGGAGACGGAGAAGGGGAGGCUGGGUUUGUUGGGGCGGUACGAGAGGCGGAGCGCCGGGCCGGAGGAGAGGGCGGUGGAGAGGUCGAAGCGGAGCUCGCAGGGACCGCCGCCGGCGGAGAGGCCGAACUGGAACGGCGGCCCAAGGCCCAAGCACCCCGAUCGGCACCUUGGCCCGCAUCAGCGGCCGGUUGUCGUCGUGGAGGCUUGGUGGUGGUGGCGGCUUGCGGCUUGGCCUGACGCAAGGCGGCGAGCGGCAGGCGAGGGCGCGAGGCCGAGCCACCGAGGCGGGGUCGCAGGGAGCCAGCCAGCCCCUCGCGGCCUCCGCCGCUGAACACGAGCGGGGACGCGGGCCCACCUGUCAGCAAUGGAGGACCGUAAACUAUUAUAUUAGUAAAGAUUCGGCCGAAAACGUUCGAUCCAGGCGCCUGAGCAAAACCCAAGAUAUCGGAAAAUACUCUUGGGCGCCCCAGCAAAAGCACAAAACGUGAAUGUUACCGCGAGAUUAUUGAAGAUCUGAGGCGCAGAGUUCAGAGAUUGGAGAGACUUCUCGAAGAAGCUCUGGGUGGACGAGCUACCACAUCCGGAAAGAAGAAGGCGAGGGAAUGACCAUCUACUCGUAAAUUGCUGAAAGAAAAUUUGUUGCCUUCUCUUUGCAAUCGGUCGAAUGUAAUAUUGAAUUAGGAAUUCCGUAUUGAACCAUUUUUUUCCUUCCACUACUAUUGAUUUGUUGGCUGAUCGCCCUAUAUACUGUAAACUAAAUAAUAUUGGUGAUAUGGACCAUUCUAUCCCAAACUAUAUUUA
This is a long non-coding RNA of Oryza brachyantha (malo sina), 1183 nucleotides long. RefSeq lists it as uncharacterized. NCBI's taxonomy places the organism in Eukaryota, Viridiplantae, Streptophyta, Magnoliopsida, Poales, Poaceae. The record is from RefSeq and is a predicted model, not a curated record. The transcript has 4 exons.